Molecule: long non-coding RNA, 3205 nt
Organism: Zea mays
Lineage: Eukaryota; Viridiplantae; Streptophyta; Magnoliopsida; Poales; Poaceae
Exons: 2
Source: RefSeq, a predicted model, not a curated record
CAAGAGAACUGCUGAAGCCAAUAGGAUGAAGAAUCCUUUGUAGUUUCUUUUUCCUAUGCAAUUGUUGAGCCACUACAUAACGCAACUACAGAAUAUUACUAAAAUAACAUUUCUUUAAAGGGACGGCAAUGUUUCAAACAACAUUAUGAUAAAUCUUACCCUACAGUGGUGGUCAAAGCCAUCGACACACUUGUUACAAACCCUACAAUGCUUACUGUGCUGCAAGACCUGCACAAAAUAGCCAUAGAUUUAUACUAACUCCAGUCACAAAUAAGUGACAAUUGUUCCAAAAUUUCACUACAAACACAUUGGGUUUGAGUCUUUGGAAAUCACACAAAUAGAUUUGUCUUGAAAGGCAGUUUCAUAAUGUAGACUUUUCUAUAUUUUAUAGAUAUAUGAUAAAAAUUCAACGUUUGGAACAUUGCUUCAGUUCCAGAAUGUAAGAUGUUUCAGUUCUGUCCUUAGUCAAACUUCUCUAACUUUGGUUGAGGUUAUAGAAAAUACAUAUUGACAUUUACAACCAAAUAAACACAUUUCCAAUUUUAUGGUGGAUAUGAAACUAAUUGAUGUUACAGUAAUGGUGCAUUUUCCUUAACUUAGUCUGUCAUGGGGCGGCAGCCCAGAACAUGGAGGCCCAUAGGGGUAAGCUCAUGAUUAGGAUUAGUGGAUAAAGAUUAGAUUAGAUAAGAUUGAGUUAGUUACAUGGGAUUAGAUUAUAUAAGAUUGAGUUAGUUAGUUACUUAGAAUUAGAUUAGAUAUAAUUGAGUUAGUUACUUGGGAUUAGAUUAGAUAAGAUUGAGUUCGUUACAUGGAAACCAAGUCUUUCUUCUAUCUAUAUAAGGAUUAGUUCCAGAUCUCUACAAUAGUCUAGUCCCCCCCCCCCAAGCUGACUCCGCCCGGCUAUCUUCCCGGCGCUGUUUAUCCCGUUAUGAACUAGGAUUCAUAACAUCGGGUAUCAUGAGCCAGGGAUCCUUUCCCAUGACUUCUGUUGCGGACGAUCUCCGCACCUGACGUGAGGAGCUCGCUCGUGCCAGGGCAGAUCUAGAGCAGGUCCGAUGUACUAUUGUCCAGCUCCGUAAUCUACUCGCAGCAAAGGUGGAGUUUGACCGCCGAUCAGCGGCGGCAACGCGACUAUAGGCGACUGCACGUGGCUUCCUAGCGCGGUGUCCAGUGCGGCAAGUUGCGGUAGCGACGCGGCUGCAGGCAGCGGCACACAGCUUCCUGGCUCGUCGUCAAGCACAACAAGUGGCAACGGCAGCGUGGCUACAAGCUGCGGUUCGCCAUUCCCUGGCACGGCGACUUGCAUCGCUAUUGCGCGUUGAACGACACGCAACACAUGGGGUGGCAAGGCCUUCAGCAGGGUUGGCCGAUCCUCCACUCUAGUUCACCGUUCUGAUCCAUAGCCAUGUGGACAACAAGAACACAUCUGGUUGGGUGGUGUUGUCUCCACUGGAACUCACGGCAACUCAGGGCGUAUGACUGGUAAGCUGCCACGUCUUGGCCUUUGUAGCCUGAAUGAGGUUGUUCCCAUGGGAUCCAGGGGGACCAACCUUGGCAUAUGUUAGGUUCUUUAUUUUAUUUGCAAAUAAAUUAAAGCAAAGAUGUAAAAGGCUUCUAGUUAGAGUUGCACUUUCACGUGCAAAUCAAGUUUGACAGCAAGGGUGUUAUCAUGCACCCCAUUACAGCUCGAGGACGAGUUGUCUUCGUAGGGUGGGGGAAUGUCAUGGGGCGGUAGCCCAGGGCAUGGAGGCCCAUAGGGGUAGGCUCAGAGUUAGAUUAGUGGAUAAAGAUUAGAUUAGAUAAGAUUGAGUUAGAUGGGAUUAAAUUAGAUAAGAUUUAGUUAGUUAGUUACUUGAGAUUAAUAAAUUAGAUAAGAUUGAGUUAGUUACUUGGUAUUAGAUUAGAUAAGAUUGAGUUAGUUACUUGGAGGCCAAGUAUUCCUAUCUAUAUAAGGAUGAGUUGUACCUCCUUAAGGGGAAAUCAAUAAAAUAAAAAUCAAUUCCAGAUCUCUCCAAUAGUCUAGCCCCCUCCAAGCCGACUCCGUCCGGCUAUCUUCCCGGCGCUGUUUAUCCCGUUAUGAAUUAGGAUUCAUAACAUAGUCAAAGCUAGAGAAAUUUGACUCAAACAACUUACUAUUUUAAAAGGAGGGGGUAGUUGACUUCUGAUAACCUCAAAACAUCACUUAUUUGUAAUCACAACUCAAAAAUGUUGUGGAGCUGUGACUAUUUUGUUGGUUUCGAAAGGUAUAUCAUCUGUUUGAUGAGAAAAAUUCAUUUAACAAUUGACUUAAGAGGAACUGCACACACGAGGGGCUGAAGAGGAAUAUUUCAAUGAUCAAAUUGCAACAUUGACUCAAUGUUGAAAGAGAGAUAAAUCUGGUGGCAUACCUCUGCUUUACACAAGCUGCAGAAAAACAUGCCUUCUUCACUUGUGUUCUGUUCUGAAGAUUGAUCAUCUGAGUGGAACCAUCUUUUGCAUAAGCAAGAAAACGGGAAGUAUAUCAAGCAAAGAACCCUGGUAAAUGUCAGAUGUAAAGAAAGACACAGAGGUGAAGUGCGCAAAAGGAAAUGAAGAUCUAAGUAACCACUCUAAAGAAGGAUCGAUCACACACACAAGAGGGCUGUUUGAAACAGAAGGGGGACAACACAAUGAUGUCAGCUGUUCACCAGUGGGGUAUAGAGGCCCAUGAGCAAAUACUGCAGCCUAUCUCCACCAACAAAGGGAACAAAGAAGACGUAGAAAGCGAAUCCGAGCGCCAGGAAGACCGCUAUCGCCACCACCUGCAGCACUUGCCCACAUCAGAAACAAGGCUGCAACAGCAAGGAAGUAGAACGCCACGGAGAAGCACGACGCAAGAAGCGGACCUGGAGAGGAUGGUAGGGUAGCUGCCACCCGUGCCUCCUCAUCGCCAACAAGGAAGGAAGGAGCCCUCAGAGAAAUGAGUCCGCCCCGAGGCAGGGAGUAAAUGGCGGCGGCGCUCGCAGCUGCCGGGGAGCACCAAAAUGCGAAAUCAAAGAGGGAAGCCUUCCGGUGGACCGUGGGUUAAAAUUAUUAACACACUGAUAGACAGUUGGCUAUAAAAUUAUUAGGUCCCGUCUGUUUUCUUUUAUUUUUAUGAAUUGAAAUCUUAUUAAUGAAAUAGGCAAUUUUUUUAGAACGUGACAUUUCACCAUUUUCUAAAGUUAUCAUAUAAAUCUAUCUCAAA